UCCCAGCUAGAACCGGAUUUCGAGGAAAUUAUUUCAAGUCAAAAACAGCUACAUGCUUCACAUACAUCUGGAAAAUCUUAAAAUAUAUAAUAAAUAAUGUUUAAAAAAUUUUUUGUCAAUUAAAAAUAUUGUGCAAGUUUAACGUCCAAAAUAAGCAUUAAACAUAGUUUAAAAUUUAUUAGCAACUCUUUUAUUAAUUGAAAAUGGCUCUUUGUUUUUUCUAAUUUACUGGCCCGCCGUAAGAUUUUUUUUAAUUUAUUGGCCCGCCGUCCAAAAAGUUCGCCCACCACU
This 291-nucleotide unclassified non-coding RNA is filed under the name Nosema bombycis. The record is from RNAcentral. Lineage: Eukaryota; Fungi; Microsporidia; Nosematidae.